This 502-nucleotide ribosomal RNA is filed under the name uncultured Glomeromycotina. Its description in RNAcentral is "partial small subunit ribosomal RNA". It matches the Rfam family "Eukaryotic small subunit ribosomal RNA", at positions 591 to 1092 of the family's 1831-position model. The record is from RNAcentral. Lineage: Eukaryota; Fungi; Glomeromycota.
CCAAUAGCGUAUAUUAAAGUUGUUGCAGUUAAAAAGCUCGUAGUUGAAUUUCGGAAUCUGUCCGUCGGUCGGGCUUCACUGUCCGUACUGGCGUGGUGGGUUCUUACCUUCUGAAUAACCAGCAUGCCAUUCACUUGGUGCGUUGGGGAAGCAGGACUAUUACCUUGAAAAAAUUAGAGUGCUCAAAGCAGGCUAGUGCCUGAAUACAUUAGCAUGGAAUAAUAAAAUAGGACGGCAUGGUUCUAUUUUGUUGGUUUCUAGGAUCACCGUAAUGAUUAAUAGGGAUAGUUGGGGGCAUUAGUAUUCAAUUGUCAGAGGUGAAAUUCUUGGAUUUAUUGAAGACUAACUUCUGCGAAAGCAUUUGCCAAGGAUGUUUUCAUUAAUCAAGAACGAAAGUUAGGGGAUCGAAGACGAUCAGAUACCGUCGUAGUCUUAACCAUAAACUAUGCCGACUAGGGAUCGGACGAUGUUAAUUUUUUAAUGACUCGUUCGGCGCCUUACG